Molecule: long non-coding RNA, 904 nt
Organism: Lactuca sativa (garden lettuce)
Lineage: Eukaryota; Viridiplantae; Streptophyta; Magnoliopsida; Asterales; Asteraceae
Source: RefSeq, a predicted model, not a curated record
UUUUGCACCAGCGAAGUGGGACUUGGGGUGUGGGACUUGGGGUGUGGGACUGGAGGUUGAAUAUAUCUUCUCCACGUCUUCUUAGUUCACAUAGCAGGUGGUUGAAGGUUUGAGGUUCAGUUUUCAAUGGUGGUUUCGACUAGUGGUUUAGCUCCUCAAUUUCUGCUAGGGUUCCUUCCGAUUUUCCAUUCCAUCGCAUUUAGUCUAACUCCGGAUCCUCCAACGACUACGACUUUGAAUCCUCCCCUGCUCACCACCGUAGUCAUCGCCUCUGACUUCUUCCAUCAUCUCCGUCUUCUACCAGUUUCUUCUACCACGAAGAUGUUUCUGGGAACUGUACUCGAAGCGUUGGGAGUAUGCUAUUAAGGUAAUUCUUUAUUGAGUUCUCAAAGCAUUAGCCAUCGUCUACGACUUCACACCCAUUUCGAAGUUUGUGUAAUUGAAUCAGUUUCUCAUUUUCAUUGUUAAGGAUGUUUCUGCAACUGAAUGUCAUAGGAUUGUUCGACAUCAAUUAAAUCUGCCUUCACACCUAUUUCAAAGGAUUCACGCACAUACGGUGUUCGAUGAAAAUCCUCACAGAGUUCACUGUUGUUCUUGAAGGAAGCAAACAUAAAUGUUGAUUAAGGACUUCAAUAUGACGAAUCUUUUUGUUAAUUCCUAGCUUUGCUCUUGAUUAGUAUCCAAUUCCAGGCCGUCAACAUUUGAAACCCCUACAAGCCAUGACCCAGACUCUGAUGAUAAAAAUUGUAGUUGGCAACACUGAUGUUGUCAAGAUCUUGGUGAAUAACAACCAUAAGCUUUUGUAUGUUGAAUAGAAAGGAAGGCAUAUGCCUUUGAAAGUGGAUGUCGCCUCAGUUUCUUUGAUAGCUUAAUCUAAAAUUGUGAAAUGUUGAAUUGUUAUUUA